RNAcentral lists this long non-coding RNA (779 nucleotides) under Phoenix dactylifera (date palm). Its description in RNAcentral is "long non-coding RNA (PDAC_LNC013499)". Lineage: Eukaryota; Viridiplantae; Streptophyta; Magnoliopsida; Arecales; Arecaceae. The record is from RNAcentral.
AGGAAUAUAACUUUCUUCACGCCAAUUAACAUUCCAACAAUUCUGGAACUCUUUGAAAUGAGAAGGCUAUUGAAGGAGUACACUAUUCAAAAGUUACAAGAAUCAAAGCAUGGAGCUCAACAAUUUUGAUUUCCCCAGAACCAACCAACUGCCCUGAGAUUUUUGAGAUUUAUAGAGGCAGCAUAUCUAGUCUUCACAUUAGCAACAUGGCAGCAGAAUCAAAGUCCCCUUUCCCUCAUGAAAUGCAAAAUCAAAGUCUAACAUGACGGAAAGAUGUUCUAUACGAGCGGGACCAGCAGUAACUGAUCCCAUUGGUCAAGAUACUGCAAGUGUUAAGAGCAGAGGGAAUGGCAAACUCUUAGCAUGUCAAAGUCCCCUCUGAUACUGCUGCAUGAACUGGUAUACAGAAUUCAGGGAAGUAUGGCUGAGAGGAAGUUGGAGAGAUCAAAAUAAAUGUUCUUUAUGUUUGUCCAAAGGCUCCUCCACCUUCUAGAUAAAACGUGUUUUCACUGCUUCCCUUGUACUCAGCAAAGAAAUGAUGGUUACAAUAAGACUAUCAGGCAAAUUACUGAUAUGAUCCUCCAACUUGAUCACCUCUAAGCAGUAUGAUAAAGUAAGAUCAGCGACAUUGCAGGAUGGUAGAUAGAAGUUUAAACCAGCAGAGCAUCCAGUAUGGGUCGAGGUAACAAUGAAAUCUUAGCAACUAUGCUUCACUUCCCCCACUCAGUGGGAUAAACCUCUCCAGCCCAGAAGCUUUCAUUAAUAGCCUGGUCCUAUGC